AGGUUAUAAAUUAAACACGUUGGCUUACUUUACGCAAAUGUAAUGUGUCAGCAGAUAAACUAAAAGAAUAAUUAUUUACUUUAACCGGUAGGAUGUAAACGCCUUGUUACUUACUGCAUUGCAUGGGCUCCCUUGGCACUACUAAAAUACCUUCAGGUGUCGUGGUAACGUUGACAACACCAAGCUGAUCUAGAUUUGUAACGUUCCAGCCAAACGAUUCUUGGGGAUAGACGUGUUGACUUUGGUACGCCGGAUUGUAUUGCGGUGUCAGUACCUGGAAAGUCCAAAUGGAAAGAUAAUAGCUAGCUAGAAUUCUUACCUUUCCUGCGUUUCACACAGGUCGCAAUGCUCCAAACAAUUAGAGGUACUAGUGCCACUAGCAAAAAUAUCACCCAAUCUAUCCAAUUCAUCA
Long non-coding RNA from Photinus pyralis (common eastern firefly), 412 nucleotides. RefSeq lists it as uncharacterized. The record is from RefSeq and is a predicted model, not a curated record. The transcript is spliced from 3 exons. NCBI's taxonomy places the organism in Eukaryota, Metazoa, Arthropoda, Insecta, Coleoptera, Lampyridae.